UUUUAUGAGAGUUUGAUCCUGGCUCAGGACGAACGCUGGCGGCGUGCCUAAUACAUGCAAGUCGAACGCUUCUUUUUCCAC
This 81-nucleotide ribosomal RNA is filed under the name Enterococcus faecium. RNAcentral's name for it is "partial 16S ribosomal RNA". It matches the Rfam family "Bacterial small subunit ribosomal RNA", at positions 1 to 81 of the family's 1533-position model. Lineage: Bacteria; Bacillati; Bacillota; Bacilli; Lactobacillales; Enterococcaceae. RNAcentral also lists the same sequence under 2 other names. The record is from RNAcentral.